Molecule: ribosomal RNA, 520 nt
Filed under: uncultured Glomus
Lineage: Eukaryota; Fungi; Glomeromycota; Glomeromycetes; Glomerales; Glomeraceae
Description: SSU rRNA
Rfam family: Eukaryotic small subunit ribosomal RNA
Source: RNAcentral
AGCAGCCGCGGUAAUUCCAGCUCCAAUAGCGUAUAUUAAAGUUGUUGCAGUUAAAAAGCUCGUAGUUGAAUUUCGGGAUUAGUGCGCUGGUCAUGCCUUUGGUAUGUACUGGUGUUACUGAUUUCUACCUUCUGAAGAACCGUUAUGUCAUUUAUUUGGUGUGGCGGGGAAUCAGGACUGUUACUUUGAAAAAAUUAGAGUGUUUAAAGCAGGCUCGCGCUUGAAUACAUUAGCAUGGAAUAAUGAAAUAGGACGUUUGACCCUAUUUUGUUGGUUUCUAGGAUCGACGUAAUGAUUAAUAGGGAUAGUUGGGGGCAUUAGUAUUCAAUUGUCAGAGGUGAAAUUCUUGGAUUUAUUGAAGACUAACUACUGCGAAAGCAUUUGCCAAGGAUGUUUUCAUUAAUCAAGAACGAAAGUUAGGGGAUCGAAGACGAUCAGAUACCGUCGUAGUCUUAACCAUAAACUAUGCCGACUAGGGAUCGGAUGAUGUUAUUUUUUAAUGACUCAUUCGGCGCCUUAC